UACCCCGUGGUGCAAUGGGUCAACACGUUUGGCUGUUAACCAGAAGGUUGGUGGUUCUAGCCCACGCAGAGGUAG
Molecule: non-coding RNA, 75 nt
Organism: Podarcis lilfordi (Lilford's wall lizard)
Lineage: Eukaryota; Metazoa; Chordata; Lepidosauria; Squamata; Lacertidae
Source: the annotation of a GenBank genome assembly